This 2539-nucleotide long non-coding RNA is filed under the name Chloebia gouldiae (Gouldian finch). RNAcentral's name for it is "Erythrura gouldiae (Gouldian finch) lncRNA (ENSEGOG00005000965.1)". Lineage: Eukaryota; Metazoa; Chordata; Aves; Passeriformes; Passeridae. The record is from RNAcentral.
GUGGAUAUUCUCAGUUCAGUCAGAGAGAAACAGAGGAGGAUUUCUGCCAGGCUAAGCCUGGGAAAAAAUCUUUCUGUUUCUCUCUGACUAGACUGAAAAUAUCCACACUAAAUUGGUCGUAGAAUGUCCUGUAGAAAACUUGCCCUGGGAUAAAAACUCAGCUGAAAUGGGAUAUGAAGCAUUGGGGUUGGGAGAAAGCGGAAGGGAGAGCCAGCCCAAGGGAAAUACAGGAAAGGGAAAAGUUUCCAAAGAGGGCAGUAUCCCUGGUAUCCUAUAUUAAUCCUUUCUGAUUAAUGUGGCAAAAGAAUGGGAAACUUCUUAAUUAGCCCCAGGAACUGCCUUAUCCUUCAUGGAGAACCUCUGGGCUUGAGUCCCCACCUGAGGCAGCACAGCUCGGGUCCACGCACAGCCCAGAGGAGCUGCAGUCUGCUCUGCAUCCCUGCUGGAAGCUGGUCUCAGGAAUGGUGGGAGCUCUCCUCUCACUUGUUCCCAGUUUGUCAACAGCUCUGUGUGCAGGGAAAGGAGCAUUUGUCACUAAUGACCCGAGCUGAGUGAUGGGGGAGUGGGAGUCACUGCUGAGCAUGAGCUGGCCGUGUAUUGCAAGCUUUGUCUCCUCUUCUUCCAGUGACUCACUCAGAUCCUCCUCUGAGAAGGAAUCGCUUCGCAGCAUGCAGCAUUUGGGAGGAAAGCCACAGAAAAAGCUGCAAAACAAAGGCCUCAACAUCAGACCUGCUCUCAGGACCCUCAGCCACCAACAGCCAGAUCCACCACCUGGAGGAAAGACUGGCACAGCAAUCCCUUGCUGCUGUUGCUGAGAUUCCUUCUCUGUGUCCAAGAGCUUUCCCAGGGGAGAAGAAAGUGCUGCAGGAAGACAGAGGGCAAAUCACGCACCAAAGAGCCUCCCAUGCAGUGCAAUGCAAACAUUCAAGGUGCUGAGAGCCAGAGUGAAGCUGGGAAGCUGCUUCCAGCAGCACAGAGAAAUGCCUGAGCUGGUCCAGGUACUCCAAGCACAGAGGAAAGUGCUGAGAAAGGAAAGAGAGGCCGGAACAGAAGAACCAAGUCCAGGCUUUGGGGACAGCAGGGAUGCUGACUGUCUGUGGAGAGGAUUCUGCACCUCUGCAGUCUGGGACCGCUGGGACUCACCUGAAGAAAUCUUCACUAGAAAGUGAUCCUCACUGGAAAAACUUUCCUGAUUAACUUUGCCAAGGGGCUGAUCCUGCCUUGGCUACGAACCCUCCCCGCUGGCCGUGCUGUAACUCACCUCUCCUGAGUCGUUUCAUGCGGGUAUCCGUUCCAAACCUCAAAGGGCUCCCGGAGUUUGGAGAAGCAUCCCACCAUCCAGAUGCUUGUCUGAACUGUUGGAGCCUGCACAUCUGGGCCAGCUGUCUUGCCAGCAAGGAGCCUUGUGAGACAGCAGGCGCUCUCUGGGUCUGCAUGGGCCAGAGUUACUGCAAGAACUGGGGUUCUUGUGCUGGCUUUGGAGUGACUGUUUCCAUCCAGACCCAGGGAGCCCAAAAAGAGCUCGAGUGAGCUGGACAAGACAGUUUUGGUUCAUCUCUCAGCCGAAGAGGUCCAGUUGGUUCCUCUCUCUUCCAGAGCCAACUGUCCUGUGUGUGGGUGUGGGUGUGGGUGUCAGUGUGUGUGUGUGGGGGGGGUGUGUGUGUGUUGAGCAAAAAAAAAAAAAAAAUCCACAUUACUUAAAUUCUGUGGUGUUUUGUUGCAUUUGAAUUAAGCCAGAGGGACCUAAGGCACAUUCCAACAAGGCUCAGCAAAAAUGUCCAGGACUGGAAAAUUCCAUAAAACCAUGUAAAGGCAGAUUCCCAGGCAUCAUCUUAAGGUCUAAAUGAUAUUUGAUUUUGAGGUGCUUAAUUUCCACAGUCUCUUCCAAGGGACUAGACUGCCUCAAUAGGCAUUUUAUUUUUCCUGCUCUUUUAGGGAAUUAGCCUGUCUGUGCUACAUUUGGUCCUGAGUUUUUUACAUUUUCAGCUGGCUUUUUGGAGUGUGCAGAACUGAAUCUCCUGGACUUAUUUGAUUUCAAUUGUUGCUCCCAGCAAAUUGGAGCUUUACUUGUAGCACCCUGGUUUUUAUUACCAGCUUCUCCAGGAAGGACUGGUAGUUUAUUUUCCUGGGGCAGAGUCACGUGAAUGAGAAGCGUGGAUGUGUUGUACCUCUAGAACUUUAGCAGAUUUCAACCACUGCAUUUUUUUCCUCCCUAGGUGAUUUUGCAUUUACUGAUGAAACAACUUUAGAGUUUUUAUUUUUACUAGAGAUAUUAUUAAUUCAAGCAACCUUGUGCAAAAGGCAAACACGUCGAAUCGCUGCAGGUUGUAGGGGUUGAAGCCAAAAGGUCUUUGUAAGCCGACAUCACCUGCCCUGGAUCUGACUGGAUCAGGCAGUUUAUUCCUCAUGUGUCAUGUUGGAGUUACAAGAUCACACCAAGCCACUAGAGCCUGUGGGUAGAAUAGUGCUACACUCGAUUUGCUAUUGUAGCAAAGCCUUUUGUAGAUUUAUACAAUAAAACUUUGAAAUAUCUGCUUCA